GUGCAGCAGUCGCGAAAACUUCACACUGUGCGAAAGCACGAUGAGGGAAUCCCAAGUGCUUGCACGUAAGUGUAAGCUGUUUCUCUGUUUAAAACGCAGAGAGAGUAAGGGCUGGGUAAGACGGGUGCCAGCCGCCGCGGUAAUACCUGCAGCUCAAGUGGUGACCGUUAUUAUUGGGCCUAAAACGUCCGUAGCCGGUUUAAUAAAUGCCUGGGUAAAUCGUGUAGCUUAACUAUACGAAUUCCGGGCAGACUGUUAAACUCGAGACCGGGAGAAGUUAGAGGUACUCCUGGGGUAGAGGUGAAAUUCUGUAAUCCUAGGGGGACCACCAGUGGCGAAGGCGUCUAACUAGAACGGGUCUGACGGUGAGGGACGAAGCCCUGGGGCGCAAACGGGAUUAGAUACCCCGGUAGU
RNAcentral lists this ribosomal RNA (414 nucleotides) under uncultured microorganism. RNAcentral describes it as "bacterial SSU rRNA". It matches the Rfam family "Archaeal small subunit ribosomal RNA", at positions 330 to 745 of the family's 1478-position model. The record is from RNAcentral.